AGAUUGAACGCUGGCGGCAUGCCUAACACAUGCAAGUCGAACGGUAACAGGCCUUCGGGCGCUGACGAGUGGCGGACGGGUGAGUAACACGUGGAAAUCUGCCCAUCGAUGGGGGACAACCUGGGGAAACUCAGGCUAAUACCGCAUACGUCCUACGGGAGAAAGCGGGGGAUCGCAAGACCUCGCGUCGAUGGAUGAGUCCACGUCCUAUCAGCUUGUUGGUGAGGUAAUGGCUCACCGAGGCUACGACGGGUAACUGGUCUGAGAGGAUGAUCAGUCACACCGGAACUGAGACACGGUCCGGACUCCUACGGGAGCAGCAGUGGGGAAUAUUGGACAAUGGGCAAAGCCUGAUCCAGCAAUGCCGCGUGGGUGAAGAAGGCCUGCGGUUGUAAGCCCUUUCGUCUGGAAGAAAGCUUGGCGCUAAUACCGCUGAGUCUUGACGUUACAGAAAAGAGCACCGGCUAACUCCGACGCCAGCAGCCG
RNAcentral lists this ribosomal RNA (486 nucleotides) under uncultured soil bacterium. RNAcentral's name for it is "bacterial SSU rRNA". It matches the Rfam family "Bacterial small subunit ribosomal RNA", at positions 26 to 517 of the family's 1533-position model. The record is from RNAcentral.